RNAcentral lists this ribosomal RNA (540 nucleotides) under Bifidobacterium breve. RNAcentral's name for it is "bacterial SSU rRNA". It matches the Rfam family "Bacterial small subunit ribosomal RNA", at positions 161 to 710 of the family's 1533-position model. Lineage: Bacteria; Bacillati; Actinomycetota; Actinomycetes; Bifidobacteriales; Bifidobacteriaceae. The record is from RNAcentral.
UGGUAAUGCCGGAUGCUCCAGUUGAUCGCAUGGUGUUCUGGGAAAGCCUUUGCGGCAUGGGAUGGGGUCGCGUCCUAUCAGCUUGAUGGCGGGGUAACGGCCCACCAUGGCUUCGACGGGUAGCCGGCCUGAGAGGGCGACCGGCCACAUUGGGACUGAGAUACGGCCCAGACUCCUACGGGAGGCAGCAGUGGGGAAUAUUGCACAAUGGGCGCAAGCCUGAUGCAGCGACGCCGCGUGAGGGAUGGAGGCCUUCGGGUUGUAAACCUCUUUUGUUAGGGAGCAAGGCAUUUUGUGUUGAGUGUACCUUUCGAAUAAGCACCGGCUAACUACGUGCCAGCAGCCGCGGUAAUACGUAGGGUGCAAGCGUUAUCCGGAAUUAUUGGGCGUAAAGGGCUCGUAGGCGGUUCGUCGCGUCCGGUGUGAAAGUCCAUCGCUUAACGGUGGAUCCGCGCCGGGUACGGGCGGGCUUGAGUGCGGUAGGGGAGACUGGAAUUCCCGGUGUAACGGUGGAAUGUGUAGAUAUCGGGAAAGAACACC